Molecule: ribosomal RNA, 460 nt
Filed under: uncultured bacterium
Lineage: Bacteria
Description: partial 16S ribosomal RNA
Rfam family: Bacterial small subunit ribosomal RNA
Source: RNAcentral
CCUACGGGUGGCAGCAGUGAGGAAUAUUGGUCAAUGGACGCAAGUCUGAACCAGCCAUGCCGCGUGCAGGAAGACGGCUCUAUGAGUUGUAAACUGCUUUUGUAAGAGGGUAAACGCAGAUACGCGUAUCUGUCUGAAAGUAUCUUACGAAUAAGGAUCGGCUAACUCCGUGCCAGCAGCCGCGGUAAUACGGAGGAUUCAAGCGUUAUCCGGAUUUAUUGGGUUUAAAGGGUGCGUAGGCGGUCGGAUAAGUUAGAGGUGAAAUCCCGCGGCUCAACUUCGGAAUUGCCUCUGAUACUGUUAGGCUAGAGAGUAGUUGCGGUAGGCGGAAUGUAUGGUGUAGCGGUGAAAUGCUUAGAGAUCAUACAGAACACCGAUUGCGAAGGCAGCUUACCAAGCUACGUCUGACGUUGAGGCACGAAAGCGUGGGGAGCAAACAGGAUUAGAUACCCGGGUAGUC